GGCCUGACAGCAAGACUCAGGAAAGAAUGCGGAAUAGACAGCCGGGCAGUAGACAGACCAGCUGAUGCCAAUCCAAGCUGUAAGCAGCCCAGGGUAGCCUUGCAGACUUCCUCUGAUUUCACUGGCUGUGAACUGGUACUCAUGCGAGGGAACAGUACACCCUGACCUGGGACACAAGCCAGGGGACCAGAACUUAGGAGCCUGUGAAGCUGCUUUGUUUUGGUAACUAUUUAAAAAGGACCCUGUGGACUUUUUCAUAACCAUGACACCAGGACACUGCUGGACCCUCUGUCCUCUGCUGGUGGAGUCCUCACUGCUAAGCCAUCAGGGAAGUCCAGAUGAUGACGACUCUUGAAAUAAAAAGAACCAUGGUUGGUACUCUGCACUUCCACUGCAGGGCGCGUGGGUUUGAUCCCUGGUCAGGGAACUAAGAUCCCGCAUGCACUGAGGCACAGUCAAAAAAGAAGAAAAUAGAGCCAUGGGUGAAGCCGAGCCACAGUAUUUUGCAUCAAGAGCCUGAAUCUGA
RNAcentral lists this long non-coding RNA (526 nucleotides) under Bos grunniens (domestic yak). RNAcentral describes it as "lncRNA (ENSBGRG00000025130.1)". Lineage: Eukaryota; Metazoa; Chordata; Mammalia; Artiodactyla; Bovidae. The record is from RNAcentral.